Molecule: ribosomal RNA, 491 nt
Filed under: uncultured bacterium
Lineage: Bacteria
Description: partial 16S ribosomal RNA
Rfam family: Bacterial small subunit ribosomal RNA
Source: RNAcentral
GAUGAACGCUGGCUACAGGCUUAACACAUGCAAGUCGAGGGGAAACGACGGGGAAGCUUGCUUCCCCGGGCGUCGACCGGCGCACGGGUGAGUAACGCGUAUCCAACCUGCCUCUGACUGAGGGAUAACCCGUCGAAAGUCGGCCUCAUACCUCAUGGCAUCGUCUGCGGGCAUCCAACGACGAUUAAAGAUUUCAUCGGUCAGAGAUGGGGAUGCGUCUGAUUAGCUUGUUGGCGGGGUAACGGCCCACCAAGGCGACGAUCAGUAGGGGUUCUGAGAGGAAGGUCCCCCACAUUGGAACUGAGACACGGACCAAACUCCUACGGGAGGCAGCAGUGAGGAAUAUUGGUCAAUGGGCGAGAGCCUGAACCAGCCAAGUAGCGUGCAGGAUGACGGCCCUAUGGGUUGUAAACUGCUUUUAUGCGGGGAUAAAGUGAGGGACGUGUCCUUCAUUGCAGGUACCGCAUGAAUAAGGACCGGCUAAUUCCGUG